GAACAGAGCAAGGACUAUUAAGACCUGGAUGGACAAGCUUUGUUCGGAAAACCUGACCUCAAUCUGAAAGAACACCUUCGGUGUGAAUUCAGAGUGGAAACUGCGAGUCAGGAGCCAACAUCAGUAUCUAACCUUACAAAUGCCGCUGGAAUAAAAUACACGCCUAAGCCUUCCUAGAAGAUGCAAGAGCAGGAUGUCACUUAUUAGUGUCAAGGCAGAUGAUUAGUAACUGGUUUCGGCCAAAUCUUGGACUUGUGUUCAGAUAUAUUGGUGGGAAAUGUCGUCCUUGAAUCCUAACUAAGGCUCUAGCUACACCAAAACAAGUUUUUAUGGGUUUGAGUUGACUUGAGCUUAAGAUGAAACAUCCCCCACAGCAUGAUGCCGCCGCCACUACCAUGCUUUCCUGUGCUUAAACUGUGUAAUGACGUAAAAACACACGUUGGCUCUGAACAAAAAUAAACAAAAAUCUAAAAACACAGUAUUUCUGUUUUCAUUUUCAUACCUGUUAAAUACAGUAGCUCAAAAAUAUGACUAUUGAAAUUUUCUGCAUAACAAUAUCCUGUUUUUAACAGGUGUCGAAGAAUUACGAGGUGUCGCGUAGCAGUUUUCACACAGAGAACAGAGACCUCCAGUAGGGGGUUUUGAAAAUAACAAUAUAUUUCUGCUGAUGAGCAAAGGUGAGCACUGAGUCAUGGCUUACCGUCCACAGGAACAUCGGAAACCACGCAGCUCUACCGAUCAGGUACCAGAUGGGAGGGAGGCGGGAUGAGCUUUCAAAUUUAAACCACGACCUUCUAAAUGCCACUUCAUCUAUAGUUUACAAGAAACAGCCUUUAGAUGAUUUUUUUUCCCCCUGACAAAAAUAUUAACACCUUUUCAAUUUUUUUCCACAUUUUGUCAUGUAAAGCCCGCUAAUUUAAGUAUGUUCUACUGGAGUUUUAUAUGAUCUACACUUGCGAAGUGUAGAUAAGACAAUUUUUUUUUUUUACUAUUAAACUAAGACUUUAUGAAUCUGCCGUUUGUGGAUAAGUGGUGAAGAAAGUUGUUGGUGAAAAAGCCAUAAAAUGUCCUGUUUUUACAAAAUGGCGUGCAAAAGAAAACACUAAAAUGGAUGUUUUUGGUCUACAUGAAAGAUGUGUAUAGAU
Xiphophorus couchianus (Monterrey platyfish) is the source of this 1145-nucleotide long non-coding RNA. RefSeq lists it as uncharacterized. NCBI's taxonomy places the organism in Eukaryota, Metazoa, Chordata, Actinopteri, Cyprinodontiformes, Poeciliidae. The record is from RefSeq and is a predicted model, not a curated record. The transcript is spliced from 2 exons.